Molecule: ribosomal RNA, 556 nt
Filed under: uncultured eukaryote
Lineage: Eukaryota
Description: SSU rRNA
Rfam family: Eukaryotic small subunit ribosomal RNA
Source: RNAcentral
GGAAACUCACCAGGUCCAGAUGAAAUAAGGAUUGACAGAUUGAGAGCUCUUUCUUGAUUUUUCAGGUGGUGGUGCAUGGCCGUUCUUAGUUCGUGGGGUGACUUGUCUGCUUAAUUGCGAUAACGAGCGAGACCUUACUCUGCUAAAUAGCCAGGCUAACUUUGGUUGGUCGCCGGCUUCUUAGAGAGACUAUCAACUCAAGUUGAUGGAAGUUUGAGGCAAUAACAGGUCUGUGAUGCCCUUAGAUGUUCUGGGCCGCACGCGCGCUACACUGACAGAGCCAACGAGUUCUUUUCCUUGUUCGAAAGAAUUGGGUAAUCUUGUUAAACUCUGUCGUGCUGGGGAUAAAGCAUUGCAAUUAUUGCUUUUCAACGAGGAAUGCCUAGUAAGCGCGUGUCAUCAGCAUGCGUUGAUUACGUCCCUGACCUUUGUACACACCGCCCGUCGCUACUACCGAUUGAAUGGCUCAGUGAGGCCUUCGGACUGGCUCGAGGAGGUUGGCAACGACCACCUCAAGCCGGAAAGUUCGUCAAACUCGGUCAUUUAGAGGAAGUAA